ACGACAAAUAACUCUAUUCUUUAAGAAAAAGAAUUGAAGGAAUGAACAGAACGUACAUAGUUUUGUGAAAGCAAUUGGAGGGCAAGUCUGGUGCCAGCAGCCGCGGUAAUUCCAGCUCCAAUAGUAUAUAUUAAAGUUGUUGUGAUUAAAAGGCUCGUAGUUGAAUGAAGAUACUAUUGAAAAGGCUUUUCUUUUUAUACAAAAAGAGAAGUUUAGUGAAACAAUAGAAGAAGGAAAUGGAUUACUUUGAAUAAAAUAGAGUGUUUAAAGCAAAACAAUGUUAAUGAAUAAUGAAGCAUGGGACAAUAAGAAGGAGAUUUGAAAGGAUUUCGAG
RNAcentral lists this ribosomal RNA (334 nucleotides) under Entamoeba gingivalis. RNAcentral's name for it is "SSU rRNA". It matches the Rfam family "Eukaryotic small subunit ribosomal RNA", at positions 470 to 845 of the family's 1831-position model. Lineage: Eukaryota; Evosea; Mastigamoebida; Endamoebidae. The record is from RNAcentral.